RNAcentral lists this transfer RNA (81 nucleotides) under bacterium. RNAcentral's name for it is "tRNA-Leu". It matches the Rfam family "tRNA". From Rfam's summary of the family: Transfer RNA (tRNA) molecules are approximately 80 nucleotides in length. Their secondary structure includes four short double-helical elements and three loops (D, anti-codon, and T loops). The record is from RNAcentral.
GGGCGGGUGGUGGAAUGGUAGACACGCUAGCCUUAGGAGCUAGUCCCGCAAGGGGUGGAGGUUCGAGUCCUCUCCCGCCCA